Molecule: non-coding RNA, 108 nt
Organism: Acanthosepion pharaonis
Lineage: Eukaryota; Metazoa; Mollusca; Cephalopoda; Sepiida; Sepiidae
Source: the annotation of a GenBank genome assembly
CCAUAUCACGUUGAAACAUCGGUUCCCGUACGAUCAGAGAAGUUAAGCAACCUCGUUCCUGGUCAGGACCUGGAUGGGUGACCGCUUAGGAAAACCAGGUGCUGUAAG